This 460-nucleotide ribosomal RNA is filed under the name uncultured bacterium. RNAcentral describes it as "SSU rRNA". It matches the Rfam family "Bacterial small subunit ribosomal RNA", at positions 26 to 518 of the family's 1533-position model. The record is from RNAcentral.
AGAAUCAACGCUGGCGGCGUGCCUAACACAUGCAAGUCGAACGAGAAAGUGGAGCAAUCCAUGAGUAAAGUGGCGCACGGGUGAGUAACACGUGACUAACCUACCUUUUAGUGGGGGGAUAACCUAGGGAAACCUGGGCUAAUACCGCAUAAUACCUACGGGUCAAAGCAGCAAUGCGCUGGAAGAGGGGGUCGCGGCCGAUUAGCUAGUUGGCGGGGUAAUGGCCCACCAAGGCAGUGAUCGGUAUCCGGCCUGAGAGGGCGCACGGACACACUGGAACUGAAACACGGUCCAGACUCCUACGGGAGGCAGCAGUGGGGAAUUUUGCGCAAUGGGGGAAACCCUGACGCAGCAACGCCGCGUGGAGGAUGAAGACCCUUGGGUCGUAAACUCCUUUCGAUCGGGACGAUAAUGACGGUACCGGAAGAAGAAGCCCGGCUAACUUCGCGCCAGCAGCCGC